AAACAAGGGAGAGAAAUGCAUCCAUAUUUUGACCAUUAAGGAUAAUGAUGCUAUGAACAGUGGUGCACAAGUUUUUGUGUGGAGAUGUAUUUUCAAUUUUCUUUAGUAAAAAUGUAGGAAAGGAACUGUUGGGUCAUAAGGUAACUUUAACUUUUUGAGACAUUGCCAAACUGUUUGUUACAGUGGUGUGUUCAGACCAACUUUUGUCACCGUGAGCAAUGUUUACAUUUCUCCAUAUCCUCACCGUUUAUUAAUCUGCCUUUUUCAUUUCAACCAUCAUAAUGGGUAUGAAGUACCCUUCAUUGUGGUUUUGAUUUGUGUUUCCCUAAUGACUAAUGUGAAGAGCAGUUUUAUUUGUUUAUGGGCUAUUUAUAAAUGUUCUUUCCUAGAUAUAACUAUUCAAAGUCUUUGAUCAUACCUUAAGUAGAUUCAUUGUCUUUAUAUAGUUUAUACUAAACCCUCGUCAGAUAUAUGAUGUUCAAAUAUUUUCUUCUUGCAGUUCUGGGAAUUGAACCCAGGGCCUUGUAUAAACUGGGAAAGAGGAAUACAACUUUAUUACUGCCGGGUGGGAGUAUAUGUCCAAGUUCCUGCUCAGUUUCCAUGGCACCCCAAGAGUGGUUCUCCUUACUGCUGUUGAGUGGGGAUGAUUUUUUCAUGUCUCACCAGGCCUCCUCUGAUACCACUCCAGUGAAUGUACCUCCGUACUGUCAGGUGAGCAUGGAAGCCCACGGGCUUCCAUGAUCUCACUGACAUUAAGGUGUUGAGAUAUUAAAUGUUAGAAUUAUCUGACAGGGAUUUUAAAGCAGCCAUCAUAACAGUGCCUCAGCAAGUAAUUACAAAACACUUGGAACAAAACCCAGAGUCUCAUCAAAUAAAUAUAAGACAGAAAGAUAACGAAAGGAUAUUUUACAAUUAUAAAAUACAAAACCCCAAAUAUAAAACUCAACAGUGAGUUCAACAACAGAGUGGAGGGGAGAGAGGAAAGAAGCAGUGAACUCAUAUAAAGUACUGAAAAGAAUGUAAAUUGACCUAAUGCACAUGGAGGGCAGUAGGAUGAACAGAUAUGAUCACUUUUGAAAAUAAUUUGAUGUCUUUUGUUGUUGUGGUUCUGUUAAACAUUUACAUGCCCUUUAAUCCUAGUAAUUCUACUCUAAUGUAUAAACUCCAAAAAAAUUUUUUUUGCACAUAAACAACAGGUGAUAUAUAGAUAAAACUUUUAUAACAGCAAUAUUCUUACCCUACCUAGUAUGUCAGGAGGAGAAUGGAUAAUAAAUCAUGCUUUGUUUACACAA
Non-coding RNA from Ictidomys tridecemlineatus (thirteen-lined ground squirrel), 1292 nucleotides. The record is from RefSeq and is a predicted model, not a curated record. Lineage: Eukaryota; Metazoa; Chordata; Mammalia; Rodentia; Sciuridae.